UAGUCCCUGCUGCCUCUGUUAUUGCAGCCAAAGGCUGGGAGUAGCAGCAGCGACAAGGGCAGCUCUGGCUGUGCGAGGGGCUUCGCGCAGUGCCGCUUCCCGGGUGCGUGCGGGGAGAGCGCUGGAGCCCCUUCCGCAGAGCCUGGCCAUGCACAGGGAUUCAGCCGCCGCCUCCACCAGCAGGAACUUUCCUGGCAGGAGCCUAAUGGCUGCGAAGGGGGAAAUCUAAGAACAAAGUCUUCGCCUCCAGCCCAGGCGCCGGGGAGAGGGAGAUCCGGCAGCAAUGAGCCCAGGGGCUGCUUGGCACUGAUGUCUCCGUGCCUCCCCUCGGCGGGAGGACUGAGAAUCCCUGGCUUACCUUCCUGCUCCUCCCCUGGGGCACAGCCGAGCGAGUGAGCGAGGCAGGGGCGGCAGAGGGGCAGCGGCUCCCCCGGGGGUGCUUUGAAACUGACUUCGAAACUUCCACGGGGCCAGGGCUCCCCGGCCCGCCGGUCGCACCCCGCCGCCUCCCCACCCGCCGGCGUUCCCACGGAGAGCCCGUUUGGCCGCGGGUUUGGGGGAGUGUGUGAAUUUUUAAACUCUCCCCUGCCGGUGUCAUGGCGGUGAAAGGGGCUGCGGCAGGUACCGGAAUGUUGUUAGUAACAGCCAACGUUGGAUCCCUCUUUGAUGAUCCAGAAAAUUUACAGAAGAAUUGGCUUCGGGAAUUUUAUCAGAUUGUACAUACACACAAGCCACACUUUAUGGCUUUACAUUGUCAAGAGUUUGGUGGAAAAAACUAUGAAGCUUCCAUGUCUCAUGUGGACAAGUUUGUUAAAGAAUUGUUAUCAAGUGAUGCAAUGAAAGACUAUAACAGAGCCCGGGUUUACCUGGAUGAGAACUACAAGUCACAGGAACAUUUUACGGCUCUAGGAAGCUUUUACUUUCUUCAUGAAUCCUUGAAAAACAUCUACCAGUUUGAUUUUAAAGCCAAGAAGUAUAAAAAGGUUACUGGCAAAGAAAUCUACUCAGAUACAUUAGAAAGCACACCCAUGCUGGAAAAAGAGAAGUUUCCACAGGAUUAUUUCCCUGAGUGUAAAUGGUCCAGAAAAGGCUUCAUUCGCACAAGAUGGUGUAUUACUGAUUGUGCCUUUGACUUGGUAAACAUUCAUCUUUUCCAUGAUGCUUCCAAUUUAAUUGCUUGGGAAACAAGCCCAUCGGUUUACUCAGGAAUACGACAUAAGGCUCUUGGUUAUGUACUUGAUAGAAUUAGAGAUCAGCGGUUUGAGAAGGUUUCAUAUUUUGUGUUUGGAGAUUUCAACUUUCGACUGGAUUCCAAAUCAGUAGUAGAGACACUUUGUACAAAGGCUACAAUGCAGACUAUCCGAGCAGCUGACACCAAUGAAGUAGUCAAGCUAAUAUUCCGUGAAUCUGAUAAUGACCGAAAGGUUAUGUUACAGUUAGAAAAGAAGCUCUUUGACUAUUUUAAUCAAGAUGUUUUUAGAGACAACAAUGGCACUGCGCUUUUAGAAUUUGACAAAGAGCUGUCUGUCUUUAAAGAUAAAUUGUAUGAACUGGACAUCUCAUUUCCACCCAGUUAUCCAUACAGUGAAGAUUGUAGCCAGGGAAAGCAGUACAUGAAUACUAGAUGUCCAGCUUGGUGUGACAGAAUUCUGAUGUCGCACUCAGCCAAGGAACUGAUUCUAAAAUCAGAAAAUGAUGAGAAGAUAGUGAUUUAUGACCAUAUUGGGCCAAAUGUCUGCAUGGGGGAUCACAAGGAAAAAGAUGCCCUCGAAAUGAGAAGAUCUUUCGUGAAACCACCCUGUAGCAUGGAGGAGGAAAGAAUAAGCAGUAUAUUGAAAUGCAUAAUCCUAACAGCUGUAUUGAUAAAUCAAGUCUUGAGUGCCACAUUUUUAGACUGCUGAUCGUACACUAUGCUUCAGCAUCUGGACUCUGUUCGGGAAAAGCCUCACAUACCUCACUGUCUUGUAUGUUCAUGUGACAUCAAGUAGAAAUGUGGAAUUAUAUAUAUAUAUAUAUAUAUAUAAAAUAUGUCACGGUUCUGUUGCCAAAACUCUAAUAGACAGCAGAGAUGUUCUGUAUUUUAGAUUUCACAAUUUUCAACUUUUAAUAAGUGUUUGUCAAUGUGGAAAAGCUACUUCAGCACAUUUUAAACUUUUAAAGGUGUCAUGCCUAACAUUAUAUAUCUGUACCAUUUGGGGGUUUUGUACAUUGGAUUAUAUAGAUAGAGAUUUUGAUGGUUUUAAAUGGUAUUUUCUUCAUUGACCAAGGCUUAUGGUUUGUUUUAGUUUUAGAAUUUUGUUUUGUUUUUCAUUUUUUAUAGAUUUUUUUCCUCAUGUUAUUUACUAUUCUGCCAUGUAACAUGGUUUUGAAUCACACAGCAGCUGCUUUCUAUACAUACAUAUGUGUGUGUCUAUAUAUAUAUAUGUAUGUGUGUGUAUAUAUACACAGAUAUAUAAAUAAUUUAUAAACCUUACCAAAACGUAUGCUAAAUAUACUUUCCAUUAUGACUGCUUGAGAGUGCCAUAUCAGCAAUUAGUGUUGGAGUCUAGCAGUUUUAGUUAAGUGUACAUCAACAUUUAUAAAACAAAUAAUAUAUAGCAGUGCCAUCAUCAAUACAGAUAUAUAGUAUACUAUAUAGCACAUAUAUUAGCAGUUUCACUUUGUUACUCCUAUAAUACCUUCUUUCUAAGUACUAUUAAGGACUGAAUGUGAAGUCUCUAGUUAGAUUUGGGUGUACCUUUCAAGAAUUUUGUAAACUGUUUUUGUCUGUCUUUUGUUACUGUUUUAUGGUGCCAAGUAUUGUAUAUUAAAACAAUAACAACAUGGGAGAAGAAAAUUAGAAGUCUGUUUCAGAUAGCAUCUGCACCCAACACAGACUGUAUUUAUACAAAGUGUUAGCGAAAAGGACUGUAAAUUUUCUUACUUAGUAGCUAUGUGCAACCUGCAACAUAACCUUGUUAUGAACAUUUUUCUCCCACCACAAAGUACAACAUUAAAAGGUGAUUAGAGAGUCUGUUGAUGAAACACAAAUGUAUGUUUUAUUGAUUUAAUUUAGAACACUACAGAGUUCAUGGACUGUGUGAUGGCAUUAGAUUGAUGCUUGAUUUUGGUAUAAAUCACUACCAUUGAAAAUGAUUUGAUGUCCGCUUGCAGAAUUUGUUUUCACGACAAUACAGUCUGGGUUUGUAUUAAGUACUGUUGUUCAUAGGGUUUCUGCAGCUCUGUAAUGUCAAUGUGCCAUGUUGCAAUAUAACCACCUGGUAAUUCUAUUUAACACAAAUAGAGAUUCAACUCAUGGUAACUUUGAAGGCCUUUAGAAAUGAGUACUCUGGUUCUCAAGCAAUAAAUCUGAUCAUAAUGAAAAA
RNA transcript from Trachemys scripta elegans, 3365 nucleotides. It is a transcript of the gene named inositol polyphosphate-5-phosphatase A, with no coding region annotated. The record is from RefSeq and is a predicted model, not a curated record. The transcript has 16 exons. Lineage: Eukaryota; Metazoa; Chordata; Testudines; Emydidae.